RNAcentral lists this ribosomal RNA (407 nucleotides) under uncultured bacterium. RNAcentral describes it as "partial 16S ribosomal RNA". It matches the Rfam family "Bacterial small subunit ribosomal RNA", at positions 30 to 526 of the family's 1533-position model. The record is from RNAcentral.
AUUGAACGCUGGCGGCAGGCCUAACACAUGCAAGUCGAGCGGAGCGGCGGACGGGUGAGUAAUGCCUAGGAAUCUGCCUGGUAGUGGGGGAUAACGUCCGGAAACGGGCGCUAAUACCGCAUACUAUCAGAUGAGCCUAGGUCGGAUUGGCUAGUUUGUGGGGUAAAGGCCUACCAAGGCGACGAUCCGUACCUGGUCUGAGCGGAUGAUCAGUCACACUGGAACUGAGACACGUUCCAGAAACAUACGGGAGGCAGAAGGGGGGAGAUUUGGACAAGGGGGGAAAGCCGGAGCCAGCCCUGCUGCGUGUGUGAAGAAGGUCUUAGGAUUGUAAGGCACUUUAAGUUGGGAGGCGUUACCAGCAGAAUAAGCCCCGGCUAACUUCGUGCCAGCAGCCGCGGUAAUUC